AAGCCAGAAUCAUGGUUGCCCUGAGCAAAGCUGUUCUCCGGGCCAUUUCUUCUCAGGAAGUAGGGACAGGGCUACCUGCUGCUGUCCUCAGGAAGCUGGUAAGAGGACCAAACCAGGGGUGUCAAUUCUGGGGUGACACAGAACAUCAUGGCUUUAUAAUGUCUCCCAACAAAGGACCACACUCCAUCCCACAAGAACAUCCACUGCCAUUGGAGCCAGAGGGCCCACUCCACACAGCCUUGGCCUAGAGGAGAGCUGACCAUCUCCAGAAUCGGUCCCACCAUGAUGAUGAGGAUGUACUGGGUAGGAUAAGGGUCCCUCACUGAACCUGGAGCCUGCCAAUCAGCUAGACCGGGUGGUGAGCAAGUCCCAGGUUUCCUCCUGCCGCCGUCUCCAGUGCUGGGCUUACAGGAGCACGCCACCACCUCUAUGGGCUUACAGGAGCACGCCACCACCUCUAUGGGCUUACAGGAGCACGCCACCACCUCUAUGGGCUUACAGGAACACGCCACCACCUCUAUGGGCUUACAGGAACACGCCACCACCUCUAGCUCUUCCAUUUUGGUGCUGGGGAUCAGUGACCACCUCCUGGCCCCUAUACUUCACUUCUUAAUGAUACAGUAGUCGCCACAUCACUAUGUUGUGGACCAAGCUGCCCACAUACAGGGGCAAACCCCAGGGGCGCGGGGGAGGACAAAUCCUAUCUGAAGAACAAAAGCCAACUUCAGGAAUUCAAAGCAAGAGCUAAACGUCAAGAAACUCACGGUGACCUCGCCAAGCCGGUCUGUUCCCUCUCCAUGGAGACACACACCUCCAAGGGCUCACCCUACUAGACCUCCUCUUCCAGGCAGGCGUACAUCCCCCCAAUUUGUUACUCAGGGUGCUCUUCCCAGAAUGCUAUGUGAGCCUGUAUGUGGUGUCUCCGAUAUUAAUAGCACCGAGUGUCAGAAGCUAUGACAGCGGUAAAGGUGGGCAUGGACUUAGGGGGCCCCCUCUUUUCUGGGAGGCAACGCUCCCCCAUGCAAAGAGAAAAUAAACACAGCCCUGGUAGAGCACAAACGCCAAUAACUGUGAGAUUUUGAUUAAAUAAUAGAUAUGUGUUCAGAAGCGCUUCUGUAUAGUAUGUGAUUAAGAAAGAUAAGUAGACAUUCCUGCAGGCCUAAUGAUAAUAAUUACCGCCACGCAUCAAGCGCAGAAUAUGACACCAGAAAGGCCAUCAUUAACCUUUCCCAGGGUUAUUUUUUGGGGUGUAUUUUUGAC
This is a long non-coding RNA of Mesocricetus auratus (golden hamster), 1260 nucleotides long. RefSeq lists it as uncharacterized. The transcript has 3 exons. NCBI's taxonomy places the organism in Eukaryota, Metazoa, Chordata, Mammalia, Rodentia, Cricetidae. The record is from RefSeq and is a predicted model, not a curated record.